CUCUCACACACACACAUACACCUCCCACUCACAAUGAGACUGCAGCAAUGAAAAGUCAAAGGUGAAGGAGGGUGAGAGAGAGAGAGAGAGGUGGGUGGAGAGAAAGAGAGAAGAGAAGUAUAAGAUGCAGGGUAAGAGCUAGAGAGCUAUAUAGACUGGUGCUGGAGGGUGAGAGGGGGAUAUAGAAAGAGAGAGAGAGAGAGAGAGAGAAGCAGAGACAGAGGGUGAGAGGGGGAUAUAGAAAGAGAGAGAGAGAGAGGCAGAGACAGAGGGUGAGAGGGUGAUAGAGAAAGAGAGAGAGAGAGGCAGAGACAGAGGGUGAGAGGGUGAUAGAGAAAGAGAGAGGCAGAGACAGAGGGUGAGAGGGGGAUAGAGAAAGAGAGAGAGAGAGAGAGAGAGAGGCAGAGACAGAGGGUGAGAGGGGGAUAGAGAAAGAGAGAGAGAGAGAGAGAGAGAGAGGCAGAGACAGAGGGUGAGAGGGGGAUAGAGAAAGAGAGAGAGAGAGGCAGAGACAGAGGGUGAGAGGGGGAUAGAGAAAGAGAGAGAGAGAGAGAGAGAGGCAGAGACAGAGGGUGAGAGGGUGAUAGAGAAAGAGAAAGGCAGAGACAGGGGGUGAGAGGGGGAUAGAGAAAGAGAUAGAGAGGCAGAGACAGGGGUGAAAGGGUGAUGGAGAAAAAGAAAAAGAGAGAGGCAUAGACAGAGGGCCUG
This is a long non-coding RNA of Clupea harengus (Atlantic herring), 708 nucleotides long. Lineage: Eukaryota; Metazoa; Chordata; Actinopteri; Clupeiformes; Clupeidae. The record is from Ensembl.